AAAUCUUUAAACAAAUCGAUUUAAGUCAAUUCAAGAAUUUUAAAAUCAGUAUUAAUAGAAAAGAUCGUAUUUCAAGUCCCUUCCCGAUUUUUAAUUUUCGAUAUUAAGACACUAACUAAUCAAUUCGGUACCAAUUUUUUGGGCGUGUCGAGGGUGCUAAUCCUUCCUCGCACGUAACCGACUCCCGAACUCAUUCUCUCAAGUUUCGUAGACCAAAGGCCCUGUUUUAGUAAACUAAAAUUGAUUUAUU
This 250-nucleotide long non-coding RNA is filed under the name Gossypium barbadense (sea-island cotton). Its description in RNAcentral is "long non-coding RNA (GBAR_LNC010363)". Lineage: Eukaryota; Viridiplantae; Streptophyta; Magnoliopsida; Malvales; Malvaceae. The record is from RNAcentral.